AGCCAGACUGAAGAGACAAAUCAUUGUGGAUCUUUUUGAGAUUGGCAUAACAGAGAAGCACCUCAAGAAAGCCACAGAUGAGUAAUUAUCCUUUGAUGAAAAAGAGGCGGGCCCACAUCCUUACCCCGGAGUUCUAGUUAUCUUGUUGCCCGUAGCUGCAGUAACCAUCCCCAAAGUCUUAGUAGAUACGGGGAGUGCUCUAAACAUCCUCUUCAACAACACCCUUAAAUGGAUGGCUAUCCCUGCUAACUUUCUCCAACCGUACUCAAAUAUGGUCAUUGGAUUAAGCGGAGCCUUGAAUUUCGCCAAAUGAUCGAUCAAGCUCAAAGUCGAGCCAGGAUCAGCACUCCAAUAGGUGAAGACAAACUCCGAGUUCGUAUUAUUCGACACUCUAUCGCUUUAUGAUACUGUAAUGGCACAACCCCUACUAUUCAGCCUGAGAGAAACAGUGUCCCUAUAUCACUAUUCAAUCAAGUUCAAGGAUCCCAGGGCGAGAAGAACUGGCAGUGUGUUCGACAGACUGGGGACCCAGCACUCGCUAACUCCUACGCAAGGACAAACUCACCCUAACCUUAAGCUUUCUCUGGAACAGACAGAACCAGAGUUGAGCGCCCUGAAAAGCGAGAGAAACAGUGUCCCUAUAUCACUAUUCAAUCAAGUUCCCCACACCCCAUGGUGUGGGUGAAGUCAAAGGAAACGGGGAGCUCGCCGAAAGAUGUCAAUAGAAACCUUGCACCAGCCAUCAAAUCACACCCCCCCGAGAGUACAUAUGGCCAAUAAAUGGGAAUUCGAGCUCAUUCCAUUGAGUCCUUAAUUCAUAGAGGUCGGUUACUUGAGUUUGUUGCCAAACCGAAUGAAGCAAAUCAACCUACGACGCAGUAGUCGCUGUUGCAGGGGCCUCCCGCAUAAGCUCAGCAGGCAGUCCCUAUUCGUAAUCCACCCCCACGCGUCGAAAUCAAAAUGAUGGUGGGAGAAAAUUAGUAUGUUGAGAGGUCUAGAAGGGCAAAAAGAAGACAAGCCCAAGUGCAAGAAUCGUCCCGAACUACUGGAAUCAAACCCCGCAGAUCGGGAUAGACCCUGAAUGGUUCUGGUUCACGGAGGAAGAUUCUGAAGGAAUCCUCCAAGAUCAAAGUGACGCCCUAGUGGUCACAAUGCCAGUUGUCAGAGUAAAAAUCCACCGGACAUUGGUAGACAACGGAAGUUCGGUCAACAUACUGUACUCACGAACUUUGAGACAGUUGGAAAUAUCGGAACCCUACCUCCAACCAUACUCAAGGAAACUACAAGGAUUCUCUAGAGAUCCUAUUGAAGCUUGAGGUCAAAUCAUCCUUGUUGUAAAACUGGGUGAAGCUCCUCGCCAAAGAAGGAUCUUAGCAGAUUUCGUGGUGGUUGAUUUUGCCAUCCAACUAUAACGCAAUAUUGGGAUGACCCAUUUUACAUGAGCUAAAAGCUGCUAUAUCAAUUUAUCAUUAUUGUAUGAAAUUUCUCACUCUUUACGGGACAGCAAUUAUCCGAGGGGAUCAAGCUGGAGCAAGGGCAUGCAAUGUCGACCUGCCAAAGCCACAAGUCAACAUGCUAAGGGACAGGUGAACACGCAAGCCGGGGAAGCCAGACUGAAGAGACAAAUCAUUGUGGAUCUUUUUGAGAUUGGCAUAACAGAGAAGCACCUCAAGAAAGCCACAGAUGAGUAAUUAUCCUUUGAUGAAAAAGAGGCGGGCCCACAUCCUUACCCCGGAGUUCUAGUUAUCUUGUUGCCCGUAGCUGCAGUAACCAUCCCCAAAGUCUUAGUAGAUACGGGGAGUGCUCUAAACAUCCUCUUCAACAACACCCUUAAAUGGAUGGCUAUCCCUGCUAACUUUCUCCAACCGUACUCAAAUAUGGUCAUUGGAUUAAGCGGAGCCUUGAAUUUCGCCAAAUGAUCGAUCAAGCUCAAAGUCGAGCCAGGAUCAGCACUCCAAUAGGUGAAGACAAACUCCGAGUUCGUAUUAUUCGACACUCUAUCGCUUUAUGAUACUGUAAUGGCACAACCCCUACUAUUCAGCCUGAGAGAAACAGUGUCCCUAUAUCACUAUUCAAUCAAGUUCCCCACACCCCAUGGUGUGGGUGAAGUCAAAGGAAACGGGGAGCUCGCCGAAAGAUGUCAAUAGAAACCUUGCACCAGCCAUCAAAUCACACCCCCCCGAGAGUACAUAUGGCCAAU
Molecule: long non-coding RNA, 2200 nt
Filed under: Olea europaea (common olive)
Lineage: Eukaryota; Viridiplantae; Streptophyta; Magnoliopsida; Lamiales; Oleaceae
Description: long non-coding RNA (OEUR_LNC001361)
Source: RNAcentral